Molecule: non-coding RNA, 45 nt
Organism: Trichobilharzia regenti
Lineage: Eukaryota; Metazoa; Platyhelminthes; Trematoda; Strigeidida; Schistosomatidae
Source: Rfam
AGCUGACUGACGAGUCCCAAAUGGGAUGAAAUGCGCAUCCUAGAU